RNAcentral lists this ribosomal RNA (492 nucleotides) under uncultured bacterium. Its description in RNAcentral is "partial 16S ribosomal RNA". It matches the Rfam family "Bacterial small subunit ribosomal RNA", at positions 29 to 507 of the family's 1533-position model. The record is from RNAcentral.
AGUGAACGCUGGCGGCAGGCCUAACACAUGCAAGUCGAACGGCAGCACAGUAAGAGCUUGCUCUUACGGGUGGCGAGUGGCGGACGGGUGAGGACUACAUAUGAAUCUACUUUUUCGUUGGGGCGAACGUAGGGAGACUUAUGCUAAUAACGCAUAAGACAUGAGAGUGAAAGCAGGGGAUCCUCCGACCUUUCGCGAUUGAAUGAGCCGAUGUCGGAUGAGCGAGUUGGCGGGGUAAAGGCACACCAAGGCGACGAUCCGUAGCUGGUCUGAGAGGAUGAUCAGCCACACUGGAACUGAGACACGGUCCAGACUCCUACGGGAGGCAGCAGUGGGGAAUAUUGGACAAUGGGCGCAAGCCUGAUCCAGCCAUGCCGCGUGGGUGAAGAAGGCCUUCGGGUUGUAAAGCACUUUUGUUGGGAAAGAAAAGCAGCAGGUUAAUACCCCGCUGUUAUGACGGUACCCAAAGAAUAAGCACCGGCUAACUUCGUG